RNA transcript from Tripterygium wilfordii, 2675 nucleotides. It is a transcript of the gene named E3 ubiquitin-protein ligase FANCL-like, with no coding region annotated. The record is from RefSeq and is a predicted model, not a curated record. Lineage: Eukaryota; Viridiplantae; Streptophyta; Magnoliopsida; Celastrales; Celastraceae. The transcript is spliced from 5 exons.
GGUAACAAUUUCAAGUUGCUCGCAUCUGUUAUAUAUCUUAAUGGAAGGCCAAUAAUUGAGCAAAAUUGACUAGAGACAAUGAAGAUGUUAUAGUUCGUCAACCUUCAAUCAAGAUAGCUGUUCUGUGAUAUAGCCUUCAUUGGCUGGUCUACAUAUGUUGGGAAGUCUACACAAACAGUAGCCCUGAAUAUAUUUACAAUAGUAGCGGUAGCUCUCCUUCAACAGUCAAGACCAUAACAUGUAUAUAUUGAAUUUUAUUUGACACGCAAGACAACCGCAACUAUAGACUGUAGUUUCACCUACUAAGUACUGUCUAGCAAAGCCUUAGCGGAUUAGCCCAUUAAAGUCGGCCCAGAUCAGGAGUGUUGAAAGCAAGUAACGGGCUAGCUGGUUCUUAAUGCCAAGUCCAAGCUUAUUUAUGAUAAGGCCUUGCCAGUUGCCAGUAGUCUCAUUGGUGGUUGUGGUGAUUUUCGCCCACAAUGGAGGAGGAGGAGGAGGAGGAGGAGCAGGGAGCAUUGUGAUUUCUUUAAUAAAAUGGUAGUGAUUAUAAUUUGACGUGUUCUUUUACAUAUGUGUUUAGUAUUUGUUACUGGAUCGAUUAUGGCUGAUACGGGAUUGAGGGUCAUUUCAUCAGGCGAACUAACUGUUUGAGAAAAAGCCCCAUUGCAGGAGCGCAAUGCACAAAGUAGAUGCAGGGAGUUAGCCAAUUCAUCUUCAUUUUAUCGCUCAAUAUACUCAGUGGUGACUCAAACAUCCAUGCUAUGGACUCUAUCAGCAAUGACUGUACUUUUAUAACCAAUGAUCGGAUUUACCCUACAUACCUAAUCUACAGUGGUCAAGAAAUUCAAGACUGAGAUUUGGUACAGCAGUUCCAAGAAGUAUUUUUUUUGCAAAUUUUCAGCAAGGAAUUCAAGUGAUUGCUUCCGGUCACUGCUUAUGGACAUGCUCCAUCAUAUCAGUUUGUCACGUUUAGAGGACAAAAGAGAGACAGUUUCUGGAAAAUCUUGCUUUUGUUCUGGAAACUCGACCAGCAAGUUGAAUGUGGCAUUUGUUAUGCUCAUUGUCUUCCCAUUGAUGAUGAGCUUGGUACAAAGCCUGAAAUUGGAACUGACUAUAUUUGUAACAAUAGCAGUUGUAGCAAGGCUUUCCAUAGUAUAUGUCUUGCAGAGUGGUUAGUUCCAUGACAACAACUAGGCAGUACGUUGAAUUUCUUGCACCUUUAUGGCUUUCUAUUUGGUUCAACAUGGCAUAGUUUUCGCCACUUAUAUACAUACUCCACAACAACACGGAGCUACAAUUCCUAUUAUAUGGAUCAAUUGCCAAAACUUGUUUGCAGCCUAUAUGGAUUUUAUUUUUCCACUCACCUCGUUAUAUCAGGCAACGUGAGUUCAGAAGGACUUGCUGGGUUUGUGCCUAGUGUUUACAGUAUAUGUUUGACCGUCCAAACGGUAACCUUGUCAUGAAGAUGGUCGAAUUGUUGCUUUUGCACUGGAUGGGACCUGUCAUUCGAUGACACUACCAUUCUACCACAUCCCGCUUUUGAGAAGUUAAGGAGAGUCUGUUUUUAGGUAUAGAUGUGGGACAUACAUGUAUUUACCAAAUGAUGUUGGACUUGUCUUUCUUUUACCCUAAUUGGAAUCCUCUCCAUGGUACAUGGUAAAAGGGUUAGUAGCAAAUUGUCGGUGGGGGUACAAUAUGGUUUUCUCUGCCAACACAGUCGGUGAUUGCUAUUGUCUAUCAUAACAUUUUUUUUGUUGAAUCUUUUACUUUCAGUACUUCGCAGAAAAUCGUAGUUUUACUGUACUUAUAGGACUACCCUGUCUAAAGCAUGGUUUAAAAUAAAGAUCACCUUGUUUAACAGGGAGAGAGAAUGCCACUUGGCCCAUAGUUUUAUUGUAGUUUAGAUCCUUGUUUACAUGGGAAUGGUAUUAAGUAUUAACAGCUCCUGGCCCUAUUAGACCUUUUCUUUUCUGGAAUGAUUCUUCACUUUCAGUCAUACACAUAAAUACAUAAUUCAUGAUGCUAAAUCAUCUUUGCAUUUGGCUUAAUAAUUACUUAGUCUAAUUCAAAAUAAACUGAUUAGACAGUUGUUAAGUAAACCUUUCUCAUGUGUUUCUGUCCAAUAAACUACUUAGGAUACUUUAUAUGUACUUGUUGAUACAUUGGUUUUUCUUUCGUGCUUGUGUUGCAGCCUUGCAGGUCAUUUAAUGUCCUGUUCGGGAAAUGUCCUUAUUGUUCAGAAUCAGUUGCAGUGAGAAUUGACAAUGCAAUGAAGUAAUUUUCCAACUUUAUUAGAUUCUUAUCAAAGAUGUCCAGAUGAUCUAUGCAAAUACUCUGCUAUGUGCCAUUGAUUGUGCUAUUUGUGUGGUUCUUGAAGCUUUGUCUGGCACCUAUUAUAUCCGUUUUAAAACCUUUCCUGAUCAUGUCAAGAUCAUCCAUCUGAUAUAGGCUCUUACCUUGUUUAUUGUAUUACUAUUUACUACUAUUCUGUUCCAUAAAUUAUGACCUGCUAUCCCACAGUGUGAUUUGUGGUUUUCCAUUCACUAUGUUCCGUCCUUGACCUUAUCCCUUGGCACGUUGAUUUUGAAUUACAUGUUUUUCAUGCUCUGAUUUUGGCAACUUCAUUAUUCAAUAAUAAUACUAGGUUCGAACCAUUUGUGGAGGGGCAGGGAAGC